AUCCAGAUUAACAGUCAUAUUGUUUUCUUGAAAAGGCUUAAGAGGUUAACAUUCGAAGGAAAUUGUUUUGAGUGGAAUAAAAUUAAUGUUCUUUGCAAGUUGCCUAGAUUGGAGGUACUCAAGUUAAGUGGUGCCUUUGUAAGUGAAUUGUGGGAGCUAGCGGAGGAUGACAAAUUCUGCCAGUUAAUUGUUUUGAAAAUUGGUCCAACUGAUCUCAAGGAUUGGAAAGCCACUGGUGAUCAUUUCCCAAAACUUGAGCACCUCUCCCUUUUUUCAUGCAAGAAAUUGAAUAAGAUCCCUAGCGGGUUUGCAGAAAUUGAAGGAUUGAAAUCAAUCCAAUUUACGUGUUGUCGUCCUUCUGUGGUUGCUUCAGCCGAGGAAAUCAAGCAAGAUCAACUUGAUUAUUUGAAUAAUAUUGUGGAUGUGGUUGUGGCAGAGCAACAUGACUACUCUUCGGUUUCUGAGCCUGAGUCUGAUGAAUACGAGUCUGAUGAAGCUUAGUUUGAUGAAAAUGGGUUUUUCCAGAAGAGCAGGAGGAAAGCUUGAGAAAAAAUUGGUAGUUAAGCACAUUUAUCAUUGUGAAUCAUAAAAUUUGACUUUGCAACAUUGUACUGUGUAGUUCUGAGUGAGAAAGCGUUGCAUCAAUUUGUGCUUUUUGUUUUAAAACAUUUGCUUCUAUUUCAUUCAUAAGGUGGGUCAUGUGAUAUGCUUGAAGUUCAAUGUUUAUAUUGGUGUAAAAAUUUUGCCUUUUGCAGUUAAAUAUUUGCAGUUGAGUUAAA
Long non-coding RNA from Ipomoea triloba (trilobed morning glory), 779 nucleotides. RefSeq lists it as uncharacterized. The record is from RefSeq and is a predicted model, not a curated record. NCBI's taxonomy places the organism in Eukaryota, Viridiplantae, Streptophyta, Magnoliopsida, Solanales, Convolvulaceae. The transcript is spliced from 2 exons.